This 477-nucleotide ribosomal RNA is filed under the name uncultured bacterium. Its description in RNAcentral is "partial 16S ribosomal RNA". It matches the Rfam family "Bacterial small subunit ribosomal RNA", at positions 29 to 507 of the family's 1533-position model. The record is from RNAcentral.
AUGAACGCUGGCGGCGUGCUUCACACAUGCAAGUCGAACGAGAAAUGGAGACGGAAACCUUCGGGCGGAAGGCUUCAUUUCGAGUGGCGGACGGGUGAGUAACGCGUGGGUAACCUGCCUCAUACAGGGGGAUAACAGUUGGAAACGACUGUUAAUACCGCAUAAGACCACAGCACCGCAUGGUGCGGGGGUAAAAACUCCGGUGGUAUGAGAUGGACCCGCGUUCGAUUAGCCAGUUGGCGGGGUAACGGCCCACCAAAGCGACGAUCAAUAGCCGAUCUGAGAGGAUGACCGGCCACAUUGGGACUGAGACACGGCCCAAACUCCUACGGGAGGCAGCAGUGGGGAAUAUUGCACAAUGGGGGAAACCCUGAUGCAGCGACGCCGCGUGAGUGAAGAAGUACUUCGGUAUGUAAAGCUCUAUCAGCAGGGAAGAAAAUGACGGUACCUGAGUAAGAAGCCCCGGCUAACUACGUG